Quercus lobata is the source of this 2312-nucleotide long non-coding RNA. RefSeq lists it as uncharacterized. The record is from RefSeq and is a predicted model, not a curated record. The transcript has 2 exons. NCBI's taxonomy places the organism in Eukaryota, Viridiplantae, Streptophyta, Magnoliopsida, Fagales, Fagaceae.
AUUCCCCCACCGUAGCUGUGUCUUCUCCUUGUCUUUGAAGUGUGGAAGGGAGAAGCAAGGAGCUCUCCUGAACUGGCCGUGAGGUUCUCCAGGUGCCAAAUUUCUUCUUUCAUUUCCUUUCGUUUGGAUGCUUAGAAAAUGCGGAAGAUUAGCCACGAAAAAAAAUUCACACAAAAAAUUGGUAACUGGGUGUUUAAGAGUAAGGCCUUUUAAUUAAUGAAUGAAACAUAAAAACUCGAAUUUCAAUCCUAAAAGCCCAGUGAAGGUUUGUUAGGUUCAUGUUUUGACUUAACUUCUCUGCUUCCAGAGUUCUGUUAAGUUUAGACAAUGGUGGGCUCUUUGCCUCCAGCUUUUCCUUAUUGUGAGAAGCCAAUUUAUUGAGUAGACUUAGAACUAGGAGAGUGGUGGAGGAUUGAGAAAUUUCAAUGCUGUGGAUGAAAUUCUUGCUUUGGUCAUAGUGUUUAUAGGAACUGGAAGAUUUGCACUUGCUAUUGGAAUUGGAAUCGCGCGUUACGUGAUAGUUUUUAAUAUGCAGAAGUAUGGUCUGCAGACUGCGGGAUGUAAUUGAGGCAAGGAUCAUGGUUCAAACCAUUAAAGGAUGUGGCAGGAAAACUUGCAGGUAUUGUAAGUAAUCCACCGUACAUACAGAGUGACAAUAUCUCUGGGCUACAAGCUGAGGUUGGUAGACAUGAACCAAGACUUGCAUUAGAUGGUGGUCUUAAUGGCAUGGGUGUUCUUCUCCAUCUUUGCAAUGGGGCUGCUUUGAUGUUAAAACCUGCUGGAUUUUUCAUUUUUGAGGUAUGGAUCUUUUAAUACCACUGAACAUUAAAAAUCUGCUUUGUUGCUUGCUCGUAUACAUGAACAUUAAAAAUCACUGUUCAAUAUAUUCUUUUGUCCCACAUUCUCUCACGUCUUAAGAAUGAGUGCCACAAGAGGUCAAACUCUAAGCAUACAUGUCUAUUAGAUACAGUAUCUGUCUGCCAACUUGUCAAGUAGCUAAUGGAUGCUGAUGAUUGUUGAUGAUGUAAAUUGGGUUAGACUUGGGAAAAGAAUCUUCCAAUGGCAUUAUUAUUGGCACCCAGUUGGAAUACUUCUACUUAAAUUUGGAAACAUAUAGGACUAUAUAUGACGCAGCAAUUAGCUAUGAGGCUAAGGUGGAUUCAGUCCUAAAAAAUAGAACUUUGGUUUGGAUGCCUGCUAGAUCUGAGGAUUGUUCAUAAUUUAAAGCCAAUUAAGCCUCAUAGAUCUAAAGGAAGAGGAUAAGGCUAAGUGGACCGUCACUAAGUCAGGUUGCAUCUCUUGUGCAGCCACAUUUGAGGCAUUAAGAGAUAAAGGCUGAAGUGGUGGACUGGUGGAAGCUCAUGUGGUUCAACCUUACCAUACCAAAGCAUGCUCUCAUUGGCUGAUUGGUGAUCAAGAAUAAAUUAACCACUAGAGAGUGACAUUCUGUGUGCUAUGCAGGGGUUGUGUUGAAAGCAGGAGCCAUCUUUCUGGACACAUGUUUAUGGGGAUGGGCUGUUAGGAUCCUCUAAGGGAAGGGACCUAGAGCAUCCAUAUGUAAGAUUGGAUGGUAGGUGCCUAUAUAUUAUAUUUGGUGCCAGAGGAAUGCUAAUAUCCACUAUGGCCCAAUCUUGACUAAGGAGAAAAUCCUCAAAAAUAAAGAAAGAUGUUAGAGGCAGGCUUGAGUUCAAAGCAAAAUUCCCUAAUUCCACUCUAAACAAGAUUCUUUGCUGACAUUGGGGCUUAAACAAAUCUAUUUUGAUCUCCAUAGCUCAAUGAUCUGUAAUUGCUACAGUAAAUUGUUGAAUUUUUUUGGAAUUUGAGUUAUAAUGGAGCUGCUUGUUGGAUAAAUGGAAAACGGCAAAGAUUCUGAUUGUGUUUGUUGUAGUAGGAUGCAGUACUUACUAAGGCUGAUUGUAUUGCAUUAUAUUUAUUGGCUUUGCUUGGGUUGUGAGUUUCAUUUGAGCUGUUUACUGAAGUCAGCGGCUUGCUUUUUCCUUGCAAGUAAAUACAGCUAGAGGUGCAAAAAAUGACUCUGGAUUCUGCAGAUUGUUGCUGCUAUAUAUUUCCAAUUAGCUGCUAAGGCUAUUGCUAUGUGCUAGACUGUUUGCUGUGUGCUUGGAAGGUUGAUUGCUCAAAUAAGUGUUCCCCUGUUCAUAGUUCACAGGAGUUUGUUAACUCUGUAUUUUUGGUUUGUUUUGUUGGUCGAGUGGGCUUCUUUUAGGCUUAGUAAUUUUGAUAGCUGAAUGACCUUUUGUUCUUUAAAUAGAUUGUAUUCUUUGUUUCUUUUUCAAUAAAAUAUACAUUCGAAC